Molecule: transfer RNA, 68 nt
Filed under: Marmota monax (woodchuck)
Lineage: Eukaryota; Metazoa; Chordata; Mammalia; Rodentia; Sciuridae
Description: tRNA.Val
Source: RNAcentral
GGUAUUGUGGCUCAGCGGUGGAGCGCGCGCCUCACACAGGCGGGACCUGGGUUCAAUCCUCAGCACCA